ACAGCUGCUCACCCCCCACAGAGCCACACACCUACCCACACACAGCAGCAGCUACACACAGGCACACCCAAACCCACUCCCAUAGAUCACACACACACACACACACACACACACACACACCCAGACUCAGACAUACCCCAAGGACCCACAUACCUACCUACACAGCAACAGACAUACCCAAACCCCCACCAGCCCUCACACACAUCCACACAUACUUACACACAGACACACCCAUGUAUACCAACACACACGCCCCUGCGUACACACCAACCCCCACAUCACAACAGACACACCCACACCCAGGCACACCCCAAAGAUCCACAUACCUACAUAGCAACAGAUACACCCAAACCCACACCAGCACUCACACACAUCCACACACACUUACACACAGACACACUCACAUCCAAACACAGCCAUACCCACAGACCCUCCCCCCACAUAGCCUCCACAUGCAGAAGCACACAGAUCCACACACCAGUACUCCCCUAGGGCGACAUCACACAUGCAGACCCCUGAACACCUGCAGACGGAGCAACACCACAAACCUCUGCACACCCACAGACAGAAAAGGACGCAGAAACACGUACUAAUACACUUCCCAUACAGGCGCACCCCUCAGGCCUCCACACACGUGCACGGCAUGCAUGCGCGCGCGCACACACACACACAACACACACAACACACACACACACACUCUUUCAAGGUCUAGCAAAACCCAUCAGGAGAGGUUGGGCCCUGGAGGUGCUGUGGCUUCCUGCUGCCCCGCUCCCUCCCGCCUCCUCCCUGCAGGGCUCCUCCUGGGGAGGCCUGUCCAGCUGCCAGGCCCCGCCCCGCCACAGCCCCCGCUGUCCUCCUCCCUCCCUCAGCCGUGCCAGCAGCGGCACAGAACUGGAAUUGCCCUGGACGGCCACAGCUCUGCAUAUCCCCCAGGAGUGUGGACAAGAAAAAAUAAACACAAUUAGAGUUCACGACAAUGGGCCCCUGAUGGAAGGCGCUGCAGGAAGACAAUGACAGUACCCUCCACUGAUCUGGGGCAAGAGGAAAUUUCUGAAUGAUCCCCCCGUAGCUUUCCACGCUCCACUGGGUCUGCGAUACAAAACUUCAGAUCCUAACAGUUGGGCUUUUCAAACAAACCAGUUUUUAAAAAUGAAUGUGGCUUACCCCCAACAUUCCAGCUGAUCAAAAGUACUUGUUUAGAAAAAUAAGUUUAGGAAUGAAGUGGAAACAAGGCCUUUGAAAUGCAGCUUAACCUAAAUAGCACAUUUUAGACUUUUCCUCCCCACUGCACAUUCUUUAUGGUGUAGGGGCCAGGGAGCCUGCAGUCUUCACCCCUCCUGAGCCCUCCUUGGCCUCGGGCUUCCUCUCCCCUGCUGCUGAGGCCUUCAGUCAGGGGCUGGCAUCUGGGAGAACCUUGAAACUGUUUCCCAUCCCCUUUGGCAGCAAGCAACAAGCACCAAAACGCUCCAGUUAACACCAGUGCAAUCAUCGUUAACGUGAAACAGCUGCCCGAGGCCUGGCGUAUCCACCAGACCGCCCCCUCCCCUCCAUGCUCAGCUGUGAGUCACCAGAGACCCCGGCUAAGGCAGGGCCCGGGAGGGAGCGGGGAUGCGAGGAUUGUUGAUGGAGCCCAGCUGUUGUAUAUGAGAAAGCAAACUAUUGCUAAAUCUCUUACCUACCUUGGAAAAAGUGUCUGAACUGUGUGCAUGAGGGACGGCGGUGGAGGAGAAGAAACAUGAAUUGAUUUAUGAACCCGAUUUAAGUUCCUAAAGUGAUUGUUUUAAAGUUAGAAACAGCCAGAGUCACUAUAGUAAGAUUUUGUUCAACCGUUUGCGAAAUCAGCAGGCAAAUCAAUGUCUUUUUUUCCUUCCUUUUUCUAGAGACCUGGGUUGAAUUUGCUUUCUGGUCACUUACAGUCCUCUAAAGCACAGACAAGAAAUCUUUUUUGCAUAAAUAACUUGUAUGUGUUCAUUCCCAGAGGAAGUUGUCCGCAUAAGCAAACAUCACCCAGAUAUAAGUUUAACCUCUUUAAUCUUCCCCUCCACCCUGUCCACAAGGACAUACCAAGCUUUCCAAAAUCCAGGCAGAACUCCAGUUCUCCGACCCAGAAAAAGCCUGGCCUCACUCUCCACCUCCAGCUCAGCACUCAGGCCUGGCAGGCCACCGGCUGCAGAAAGAUCCUCCUCCCCUUCCCCACCCAAGCAGUUGUGUUUCCCAGCAAAAAAUCGGACCCUCAGCUGCUACCGCAGCCACAUGAUCCACUCAGUGACUCACAGGCAGGCCACACCCCUUCAGGCCUCCCGGCCAGGCUCUGCUCCCAGCCAGCUAACUCUGGGAUGCAUCUUAUUACCAAAGGGAACAACUAGCUAACUAAUGCCCUUGACAGUCCAAAUAAUUACUUUCUUUCAUUAGAAGAACUUGCUUAUAAAAUAUAUACGGGCUGAGAGGACGCAGGCUCUUCUGAACUCUGGCUCUGCCAGCUCUCCAAGUCCUCCCCCACCAUGCCAAGACCUGGGGAAUGGCAGACAUGGUUAGCUGGGAAGCUAGAAAGCUAAGACAUUCCUGUUUAAAAAGAAAGCUCUUACAUGUUAAUACCUUUUUUUCCCAAAAAUUUUAUUGGGGGAAAACUACAAAACAUUUACAGUACAAUGUUUACAG
RNAcentral lists this long non-coding RNA (2658 nucleotides) under Homo sapiens (human). Its description in RNAcentral is "HSALNT0302126". The record is from RNAcentral. Lineage: Eukaryota; Metazoa; Chordata; Mammalia; Primates; Hominidae.